ACCUAUACCCGGCCGUCGGGG
Molecule: small nuclear RNA, 21 nt
Filed under: Arabidopsis thaliana (thale cress)
Lineage: Eukaryota; Viridiplantae; Streptophyta; Magnoliopsida; Brassicales; Brassicaceae
Description: snRNA_06820
Source: RNAcentral